CAGAGGUACUAUAAUGGUAGAAAAGUAGUUGAAGGACAAUGCCGGAAAAGGCCGUGUGGGAAAGGCUGACUAGGGGGAGUUUGCUUGACUUGGGUCUUGAGCCACAAGGCGCAGAAGAGAUGGAAGGGUGUCCAGACAGAGGGAGUAGCCCGUGCAAAGGAAGGGAUUCCAAGGCUGGAGAGAAUGUUGAUGGUUAUUCCAGUCCAGCACCCACCCUCGUCACUCCCCCAAACUGCAUUUAUCAGGCUCACCCAUUACCUCCAUGUUGACAAUUCCAAGAGAUGCUGAUGGUUUAUUGUAUGUGUCAACUUGACUGCACUAAGGGAUGCCCAG
RNAcentral lists this long non-coding RNA (333 nucleotides) under Mustela putorius furo (domestic ferret). Its description in RNAcentral is "lncRNA (ENSMPUG00000030881.1)". The record is from RNAcentral. Lineage: Eukaryota; Metazoa; Chordata; Mammalia; Carnivora; Mustelidae.